GAUGAACGCUGGCGGCGUGCCUAAUACAUGCAAGUCGAGCGAACGGACGAGAAGCUUGCUUCUCUGAUGUUAGCGGCGGACGGGUGAGUAACACGUGGAUAACCUACCUAUAAGACUGGGAUAACUUCGGGAAACCGGAGCUAAUACCGGAUAAUAUUUUGAACCGCAUGGUUCAAAAGUGAAAGACGGUCUUGCUGUCACUUAUAGAUGGAUCCGCGCUGCAUUAGCUAGUUGGUAAGGUAGCGGCUUACCAAGGCAACGAUGCAUAGCCGACCUGAGAGGGUGAUCGGCCACACUGGAACUGAGACACGGUCCAGACUCCUACGGGAGGCAGCAGUAGGGAAUCUUCCGCAAUGGGCGAAAGCCUGACGGAGCAACGCCGCGUGAGUGAUGAAGGUCUUCGGAUCGUAAAACUCUGUUAUUAGGGAAGAACAUAUGUGUAAGUAACUGUGCACAUCUUGACGGUACCUAAUCAGAAGGCCACGGCUAACUACGUG
This 497-nucleotide ribosomal RNA is filed under the name uncultured bacterium. Its description in RNAcentral is "partial 16S ribosomal RNA". It matches the Rfam family "Bacterial small subunit ribosomal RNA", at positions 28 to 507 of the family's 1533-position model. The record is from RNAcentral.